RNAcentral lists this ribosomal RNA (460 nucleotides) under uncultured bacterium. RNAcentral's name for it is "partial 16S ribosomal RNA". It matches the Rfam family "Bacterial small subunit ribosomal RNA", at positions 338 to 795 of the family's 1533-position model. The record is from RNAcentral.
CCUACGGGAGGCAGCAGUGAGGAAUAUUGGUCAAUGGGCGCGAGCCUGAACCAGCCAUGCCGCGUGAAGGCUGACUGCCUUCCGGGUUGUAAACUUUUUUUAUAAAGGAAUAAAGUGUGACACUUGUUCCUUUUUGUAUUUACUUUAUGAACAAGGAUAGGCUAACUUCGCUCCAGCAGCCGCGGUAAUAAGGAGGAUCCGAUCGUUGUCCGGAUGUAUUGGGUGUAAAGGGAGCGUAGCUGGGUUGUUAAGUCAGAUGUGAAAGUUUGCGGCGCAACCGGAAAAUUGCAAUUGAUCCUGGCAAGCUGGAGUGCCGGAGAGGGCAGCGGAAUUCCAUGUGUAGCGGUGAAAUGCGUAGAUAUAAGGAAGAACACCAGUGGCGAAGGCGGAUGACUGGACGGCAACUGACGGUGAGGCGCGAAAGCGUGGGGAGCAAACAGGAUUAGAUACCCGGGUAGUC